This 434-nucleotide ribosomal RNA is filed under the name uncultured Lachnospiraceae bacterium. RNAcentral describes it as "partial 16S ribosomal RNA". It matches the Rfam family "Bacterial small subunit ribosomal RNA", at positions 341 to 792 of the family's 1533-position model. Lineage: Bacteria; Bacillati; Bacillota; Clostridia; Lachnospirales; Lachnospiraceae. The record is from RNAcentral.
ACGGAAGGCAGCAGUGGGGAAUAUUGCACAAUGGGCGAAAGCCUGAUGCAGCGACGCCGCGUGAAGGAUGAAGUAUUUCGGUAUGUAAACUUCUAUCAGCAGGGAAGAAAAUGACGGUACCUGACUAAGAAGCCCCGGCUAACUACGUGCCAGCAGCCGCGGUAAUACGUAGGGGGCAAGCGUUAUCCGGAUUUACUGGGUGUAAAGGGAGCGUAGACGGCGAUGCAAGUCUGAAGUGAAAGGCGGGGGCUCAACCCUUGGACUGCUUUGGAAACUGUAUUGCUAGAGUGCAGGAGAGGUAAGUGGAAUUCCUAGUGUAGCGGUGAAAUGCGUAGAUAUUAGGAGGAACACCAGUGGCGAAGGCGGCUUACUGGACUGUAACUGACGUUGAGGCUCGAAAGCGUGGGGAGCAAACAGGAUUAGAUACCCUGGUA